UGAUUAGCUCAGCUGGGAGAGCAUCGCCCUUACAAGGCGAGGGUCACUGGUUCAAGUCCAGUAUUAAGUGU
RNAcentral lists this transfer RNA (71 nucleotides) under Pseudoalteromonas sp. P1-11. RNAcentral describes it as "tRNA-Val". It matches the Rfam family "tRNA". From Rfam's summary of the family: Transfer RNA (tRNA) molecules are approximately 80 nucleotides in length. Their secondary structure includes four short double-helical elements and three loops (D, anti-codon, and T loops). Lineage: Bacteria; Pseudomonadati; Pseudomonadota; Gammaproteobacteria; Alteromonadales; Pseudoalteromonadaceae. The record is from RNAcentral.